UCAUGUAGAAGCAUCCGGCCGGUUCAGCUUCGGUCGGGUGUGGAGUGCUGCUUGGGCAAGCGCUGCCGCAGGCUGAAUAGGGAUAUCCCGAAAGAAAGCGUCUGUG
Molecule: non-coding RNA, 106 nt
Submitted as: unclassified sequences
Source: Rfam